This 73-nucleotide transfer RNA is filed under the name Salmo salar (Atlantic salmon). It matches the Rfam family "tRNA". Rfam says of the family: Transfer RNA (tRNA) molecules are approximately 80 nucleotides in length. Lineage: Eukaryota; Metazoa; Chordata; Actinopteri; Salmoniformes; Salmonidae. The record is from Rfam by way of RNAcentral.
GUGCCUGUAGCUCAGUUGGUAGAGCAUGGUGUUUGCAACGCCAGGGUUGUGGGUUCGAUUCCCACGGGGGGCC